Long non-coding RNA from Mangifera indica (mango), 433 nucleotides. RefSeq lists it as uncharacterized. The transcript has 2 exons. Lineage: Eukaryota; Viridiplantae; Streptophyta; Magnoliopsida; Sapindales; Anacardiaceae. The record is from RefSeq and is a predicted model, not a curated record.
AAGGUAAUAUGAUAUUUGGUCUGUCUUGAUGAUUUUUCGGUUUUCUCUUUGCUCAUUUUAGCUCAUCUAUCCUACUUGAUUUUGUGGCUAGUAUAGUAUUUUAUCAUGUUAAUUCAACUUUCUCUUUAAGGUUUAAUGCAAUUCUCUCUAAUUCCUUCUCUGUUUCAGAUUUCCUACAUAUAUUUCUGCUCCUAGCGAUAAUGGUUUUGCAUUGCUCUUACAGGUAAUAGGUAAAAGAAUGUUCAUAUGAGAAGAACGACCAAGGCAUGAGAGGAAGAUAAGAUUUUAUAUUUGAAAUGAUAAAGUUUAAGUGUUUAAGUUUCAUAAUUACGUAUAUAUUUAAAGAUAAUGUUUUAAGUUAGGUGAUACUGAACAAAAAACAUUUUUCAACUUUUUCCUACAAUUGAGUGUUUCAAAAUACUGAUAUGUUUAA